AUACGUAGGUGGCAAGCGUUGUCCGGAAUGAUUGGGCGUAAAGGGCGCGUAGGCGGCCCGGUAAGUCUGGAGUGAAAGUCCUGUUUUUAAGAUGGGAAUUGCUUUGGAUACUGUCGGGCUUGAGUGCAGGAGAGGUAAGUGGAAUUCCCAGUGUAGCGGUGAAAUGCGUAGAGAUUGGGAGGAACACCAGUGGCGAAGGCGACUUACUGGACUGUAACUGACGCUGAGGCGCGAAAGCGUGGGGAGCAAACAGGAUUAGAUACCCUGGUAGUCCAUGCCGUAAACGAUGUCUACUAGCCGUUGGGGGAUUUGAUCCUUUAGUGGCGCAGCUAACGCGAUAAGUAGACCGCCUGGGGAGUACGGUCGCAAGACUAAAACUCAAAUGAAUUGGCGGG
Molecule: ribosomal RNA, 395 nt
Filed under: uncultured bacterium
Lineage: Bacteria
Description: partial 16S ribosomal RNA
Rfam family: Bacterial small subunit ribosomal RNA
Source: RNAcentral